This 2197-nucleotide long non-coding RNA is filed under the name Hordeum vulgare. Its description in RNAcentral is "long non-coding RNA (HVUL_LNC019120)". Lineage: Eukaryota; Viridiplantae; Streptophyta; Magnoliopsida; Poales; Poaceae. The record is from RNAcentral.
UGAAAUCAAAGGGGCCCCCGAUUAGUGCUCAACUCUAUACUGGAAAGGCUCAAAAUAGCAGUAGGAAACAUUUCUCAAAAGAAAAAAAGCAGUAGCAAACGACGCACAACGUAGGCCCUACCCACACGUCGACCUCCUACAACUGCUCCGCUUGAUCUACGGUAGUGUGCGGUGGCGUCCCUAUGGUUUAUAUCAACUGUUGCUGCGGAUGCGCGUUGGCCGGCCGCAGCCGCCGGUCGGGUACUCGCCGUCGUGUCCGGGAUGCAGGUAUAUGGAGGCUCCAACAGCUCCUCUAACUGAGGAACCCUAGAACAUGUGAACAUGUGCAUCUUCCGGCCGGACAAGGUGAAUACGUAGAGACUAGUCAUCCUGAGCGUCGCCCUGUCCAGGAUGGAUCCAGAUCAAGGUCCUGGUCCGGAUCAGGUUGCCCAUGGACGUUUUGAAAGUUCUGCACGGGCUCGGAUGAGUACUACAUCUGACGCAUCUAGGUAUUUACAGUUCUUGUUCAAGGAAGGUUUCUUAGUUUUAGUUUUCUGCCUCAUGAAGAUAGAGCUUUGGUGUUUUUGCAUAUGAAUUACUUUCACUUUAUUUUAAAAAAGCCAUUGACGAAUUGUCAUAAGUAACACAUCCCCCUAUGCUGUUAAUUUUGUUGGCAUAUCUGGAUCAGCUGCAAACACUUGCAACACAGUAAGAAGAAAACAAGACAAUGAUAAUAUCGUAAAAGAAUACAUAUGUGAGGUUUCGAUGGGAUGGCGGUGACUUAACAUUUUUCCCUUAGAGCAUCUAUUAUGAAACUUAGCAAAUAUGACCCUUUAAAUGUCCGUGGACAUGCUCGAUCAGUGAUCGGACGUGGCCGUCUUGACCCUCUAAACUUUUUUUACCGAACAGUGACCGAAAAAGACGUUUAAGUCAUUUGAAAAGGAUAUAAGGGGUCCAGCUGCAGAUGCUACGAAACACAAAUUAUGUCUACACUAGGGGCCCAUGAAUUCUAGCUUCUCCCCGUGCCCCCAAAAUCUCAGGACCGGCCCUGAGUAGACGUACUUUAAUUAUCAGUUGCGGGAUAUUGCUCUUGCUCGCCACAAAAUAUUUUUCCAACGCGGGAUGCUAUCCACGUCACUUGCGGGUGGCACACUUUGUGCAGUGCCCUCCACUGAUAAGAUUUUGUAUAGUGUAUGCCUCCUUCUUGAGAAGUGGCCUGAUCCCCUCUACACAUUUUAUAUUUCCUCUACCGUGACGCCCUCUUCCUCUUCCUCCGACUCCUCUCAAAAUUGGUCAUCCGCUACAUAUCUCUCUUCCCGAUUCCAUUUGAUCGAUUAGAGAUAGACGAGGAGACACGUUGUAGGUGAGAAUUCAUUUCUGAAUUCAACAUCGUGUGUAUGUACGUGUGAGCAUGCAUGGAUACAUGAUUGUUUGUGUGUGGCAUGACAAACGUGUCGGGAGAUUGAAUUUUUGGUUGCUUGUUGAAAAAUUUCAGGUAAUACAAAUGAGUGCCAAAUAUCAUUAAAAUUUUGAUUAAUUUCCAUUUCGUCUACUUGGUGUCACUGGAUAUGUCCAUUUUUAGCAAAGGUCUUGCCAAUUUUCUUUAUUUUCCAUAUUCUAAGAUCAAAGAGUAAUCUAUUAUGUUAUGUGCGUAUGUUGUAGGUUUGGGCGUUGAAUGAUGGAUCGUAGUUGGAUGUACUCCAUACCACAGGCAUCCAAUGAUUUUGUUAAUGGAGUUCUUACAAUUUGCGAAGGAUCAUGUUAGGAAAAGGAAUUUGAAGAAAAUAAGUUGUCAUGCGUUAUUUGCGAGAAUGAUGUUAUGUACGCAAUUGAAUCGGGAGAGUUGCAUAAGCACUUGUUGGCUAAUGGUUUCAUGUGUGGUUAUUCGACAUGGACAAGUCAUGAUGAGGAUGGGAUGUCAUGUGAAGGAGCGGAACAUGACGAGGAACAAAAAUGGGUGAUAGAUGGACAUGAUUAACAAUCUAACGGUGAUGAAUACAACAAGUCCAGGGAAGUUAUUGUGUACUUUGUUCAAAGAAUUCCCUCCCCCACUCGUGCAGCCACCGCCACCGCCACCAUUAACCUCUUCUCGACUACGUGCUCAGCUCCUUAGCCGCCACCAAAGGCGCUGUUGCGUGCUCGCCUGUCGCCGCCGCCGCUGUCGUUGUGCUGCUGCCGCACGUAGUAGACCUCACCUUGCCGACAUGCUCGCCUCCUG